Molecule: ribosomal RNA, 588 nt
Filed under: Triticum aestivum (bread wheat)
Lineage: Eukaryota; Viridiplantae; Streptophyta; Magnoliopsida; Poales; Poaceae
Description: partial small subunit ribosomal RNA
Source: RNAcentral
AUGAAAUUCUUGCAGUACAUUAGCGUUGGGGGUUGCCAACAAUUUGUGGAACUUCCACAUAGCAUUGUAAAUUUAGGAAAGCUAUGGUCUCUUGACUUCAGAGGAACUAGAAUAAAUGGUAUACCUAGGGGGUUCUGUGCUUUAAAAAAUUUGAGGAGACUACGUGGGUUUCCGGUCCAGGUGGAUGGUGACUGGUGUAGUUUGGAAGAGUUGGGCCCCGUUGGCCAGCUCAGGGAUCUUUAUCUGAGUGGACUGCAGAAUGCAUCUGCUACAUCGUCUGCCUCAAAGGCAAGGCUUAGUGAGAAGGCGCAUCUUACCAACUUGUAUUUACAGUGCAGUAGUGUACUUUGGGUUGAUGGGCUGAUUAAAGAUGAAGAAGGUGUCUCUGAGCAGCGACAAAUCAAGGAGGUGUUUGAUGGGUUGUGCCCUCCGCCCAGCUUAGAUUAUCUUAGUAUGUCAGGAUAUUUUGGCCGACAACUCCCAAGGUGGAUGACGUCAACAUUAUUAGCAUCAUCCCUCAGGUGCUUGAGGACUCUUUGGAUGGAAGAUCUGACUUACUGCACACAACUUCCUGCUGGCUUGUGUUAA